This 184-nucleotide ribosomal RNA is filed under the name uncultured bacterium. Its description in RNAcentral is "partial 16S ribosomal RNA". It matches the Rfam family "Bacterial small subunit ribosomal RNA", at positions 1318 to 1500 of the family's 1533-position model. The record is from RNAcentral.
GCGUGAAGUCGGAAUCGCUAGUAAUCGCGGAUCAGCAUGCCGCGGUGAAUACGUUCCCGGGCCUUGUACACACCGCCCGUCACACCAUGAGAGUCGGGAACACCCGAAGUCCGUAGCCUAACCAAUCUGGAGGGCGCGGCCGAAGGUGGGUUCGAUAAUUGGGGUGAAGUCGUAACAAGGUAGC